AUGCGAGUCGAGCGGGGUUUUCGGACCUAGCGGCGGACGGGUGAGUAAUGCGUAGGAAGCUGCCCGAUAGAGGGGGAUACCAGUUGGAAACGACUGUUAAUACCGCAUAAUGUCUACGGACCAAAGUGUGGGACCUUCGGGCCACAUGCUAUCGGAUGCGCCUACGUGGGAUUAGCUAGUUGGUGAGGUAAUGGCUCACCAAGGCGACGAUCUCUAGCUGGUUUGAGAGGAUGAUCAGCCACACUGGAACUGAGACACGGUCCAGACUCCUACGGGAGGCAGCAGUGGGGAAUAUUGGACAAUGGGCGCAAGCCUGAUCCAGCCAUGCCGCGUGUGUGAAGAAGGCCUUCGGGUUGUAAAGCACUUUCAGCGAGGAGGAAGGGGUAGUAGUUAAUAGCUGCUACUUUUGACGUUACUCGCAGAAGAAGCACCGGCUAACUCUGUGCCAGCAGCCGCGGUAAUACAGAGGGUGCAAGCGUUAAUCGGAAUUACUGGGCGUAAAGCGCACGUAGGCGGUUUUUUAAGUCAGAUGUGAAAGCCCCGGGCUCAACCUGGGAAUUGCAUUUGAAACUGGAAAACUAGAGUGUGUGAGAGGGGGGUAGAAUUCCAAGUGUAGCGGUGAAAUGCGUAGAGAUUUGGAGGAAUACCAGUGGCGAAGGCGGCCCCCUGGCACAACACUGACGCUCAGGUGCGGAAGCGUGGGGAGCA
This 708-nucleotide ribosomal RNA is filed under the name uncultured bacterium. Its description in RNAcentral is "bacterial SSU rRNA". It matches the Rfam family "Bacterial small subunit ribosomal RNA", at positions 55 to 770 of the family's 1533-position model. The record is from RNAcentral.